AGAGCUCAUCCAUAAUUGUCAU
This 22-nucleotide microRNA is filed under the name Macaca mulatta (Rhesus monkey). RNAcentral's name for it is "mml-miR-549b-5p". Its record names the gene mml-miR-549b-5p. Lineage: Eukaryota; Metazoa; Chordata; Mammalia; Primates; Cercopithecidae. The record is from miRBase by way of RNAcentral.